This is a long non-coding RNA of Osmia bicornis bicornis, 852 nucleotides long. RefSeq lists it as uncharacterized. Lineage: Eukaryota; Metazoa; Arthropoda; Insecta; Hymenoptera; Megachilidae. The transcript has 3 exons. The record is from RefSeq and is a predicted model, not a curated record.
GCUGAAAAUAACUUUGCAAUUAUCCUGUGCGUAUCAACGACUUUAUUAGGAAAGAAUUCAUAUUUCAUUCAACAGUUAUCCUUUCCCACUUGCCUACCGGCGAAGGAACACCCCGCAAGUAUGCGCGGGCACGCCGCAAGUUUUCAAACUUUUGCGCAUCCGAAUUUUCACGCGGGCCGCUGACGUAUCCCUCUGUCCUUGGUGCAAGUCAAAUACAAAAUGUGGAGUGAGUGAGAAAGGGAAUUUGGGCCCUGUCCACCCUUGAGGACAGCAAGGGCUGGAUCGUCAGAAAAACAGUGACCGUCAAGAAGUCAACAUCAUGAGUAACAAAGAAAACAUCAGCGAAGCCGAAACCUCAAAAACGAAAGCUACCCCACCUGACCGGAACCGGGCCCGAAGUUCGUCGAGGAAAAGAAGUCUGUCGGGUGACCGAAGCCGGUCCCCAAGGAGUUCGGAGGCAAAAGCUUCCCUGCGUGACCGGAGCCGGUCCCAAGCAACAUCGGCUCGAGGACGGACACCGUCACGUGACCGUAGCCGGUCCCGCGGAACGUCAGCGGGAGGAUGGACUCCGGUACGUGACCGGAGCCGGUCCCGCAGAACACCACCGGGAGGACGUACUCCGCCACGUGACCGGAGCUGGUCGCGAAAUGUAUCGCGAAGUGUUUCGUGCAGACGAACACCCGCACGUGACCGGAGCCGGUCACAAAUAAGUUCAAGCAGUGGAAGUUGCGGGGAUUGCAAAUAUUAUAAAACCCUCGCAAGAAAAUACAAAAAUGAGAUGAAGAAGUUGCAAAAAAAGUUUCGGGAGACGAUGUAUGGCGGAAGAGCGGGAAGAGCUGGAAGAAGGGGAAG